GACGAACGCUGGCGGCGUGCUUAACACAUGCAAGUCGAACGGUAAGGCCCUUCGGGGUACACGAGUGGCGAACGGGUGAGUAACACGUGGGUGAUCUGCCCUGCACUUCGGGAUAAGCCUGGGCAACUGGGUCUAAUACCGGAUAGGACCCUGGGAUGCAUGUCCUGGGGUGGAAAGCUUGUGCGGUGUGGGGUGGGGCCGUGGCCUAUCAGAUUGUUGGUGGGGGGGUGGCCUACCAAUGGGACGACGUGUAGCCGGACUGAGAGGGUGAUCGGCCAGACGGGGAGUAAGAUACGGCCCAGACUCCUACGGGAGGCAGCAGGGGAGAAUAUGGGACAAUGGGCGCAAGCCUGAUGCAGCGACGCCGCGUGAGGGAUGUCGGCCUUCGGGUUGUAAACCUCUUUCAGCACCGACGAAGCGCAAGUGACGGUAGGUGCAGAAGAAGGACCGGCCAACUACGUGCCAGCCGCCGCCGUAA
This 478-nucleotide ribosomal RNA is filed under the name uncultured bacterium. RNAcentral describes it as "partial 16S ribosomal RNA". It matches the Rfam family "Bacterial small subunit ribosomal RNA", at positions 28 to 523 of the family's 1533-position model. The record is from RNAcentral.